RNAcentral lists this ribosomal RNA (478 nucleotides) under uncultured soil bacterium. Its description in RNAcentral is "bacterial SSU rRNA". It matches the Rfam family "Bacterial small subunit ribosomal RNA", at positions 26 to 506 of the family's 1533-position model. The record is from RNAcentral.
AGGACGAACGCUGGCGGCGUGCUUAACACAUGCAAGUCGAGCGGUAAGGCCCUUUCGGGGGUACACGAGCGGCGAACGGGUGAGUAACACGUGAGUAAUCUGCCCUCCACUUGGGGAUAAGCUUCGGAAACGGGGUCUAAUACCUGAUACGACAACUUCCUGCAUGGGAUGGUUGUGGAAAGUUUUUUCGGUGGGGGAUGUGCUCGCGGCCUAUCAGCUUGUUGGUGGGUAAUGGCCUACCAAGGCUUCGACGGGUAGCCGGCCUGAGAGGGUGACCGGCCACACUGGGACUGAGACACGGCCCAGACUCCUACGGGAGCAGCAGUGGGGAAUAUUGGACAAGUGGGCGGAAGCCUGAUCCAGCAACGCCGCGUGAGGGAUCGACGGCCGUUCGGUUACGUAACCGUUCUUUCGAGUACCGACGAAGCGCCGUUGUGGUGUGACGGUAGGUACGAGAAGAAGCGACCGCCAACUACGU